CCUACGUGAGGCAGCAGUGGGGAAUAUUGCGCAAUGGGCGAAAGCCUGACGCAGCGACGCCGCGUGAGGGAUGAAGGUCUUCGGAUCGUAAACCUCUGUCAGCAGGGAAGAACGGUCACUGUGCUAAUCAGCAGUGAAUUGACGGUACCUGCAACGGAAGCACCGGCUAACUCCGUGCCAGCAGCCGCGGUAAUACGGAGGGUGCGAGCGUUAAUCGGAAUUACUGGGCGUAAAGCGCUCGUAGGCGGUAUGUCAAGUCAAGGGUGAAAUCCCCGCGCUCAACGUGGGAACUGCCUUUGAAACUGGCAAACUGGAGUGUGUGAGAGGAUAGUGGAAGUCCAGGUGUAGGAGUGAAAUCCGUAGAUAUCUGGAGGAACAUCAGUGGCGAAGGCGACUAUCUGGCACAUAACUGACGCUGAGGAGCAAAAGCGUGGGUAGCAAACAGGAUUAGAUACCCGUGUAGUC
Molecule: ribosomal RNA, 465 nt
Filed under: uncultured bacterium
Lineage: Bacteria
Description: partial 16S ribosomal RNA
Rfam family: Bacterial small subunit ribosomal RNA
Source: RNAcentral